UACGGAGGACCCGAGCGUUAUCCGGAUUCAUUGGGUUUAAAGGGUGCGCAGGCGGCCCGGUCAGUCAGCGGUGAAAUGCCCGCGCUUCACGCGGGAGCUGCCGUUGAUACUGCCGGGCUAGAAUCUCAGCGAGGCGGGCGGAAUGCGCGGUGUAGCGGUGAAAUGCAUAGAUAUCGCGCAGAACGCCGAUUGGGGAGCCAGCUCGCCAGCUGGGUAUUGACGCUGAGGCACGAAAGCGUGGGGAUCGAACAGG
RNAcentral lists this ribosomal RNA (253 nucleotides) under uncultured bacterium. Its description in RNAcentral is "partial 16S ribosomal RNA". It matches the Rfam family "Bacterial small subunit ribosomal RNA", at positions 524 to 776 of the family's 1533-position model. RNAcentral also lists the same sequence under 1 other name. The record is from RNAcentral.